RNAcentral lists this ribosomal RNA (468 nucleotides) under uncultured bacterium. RNAcentral describes it as "partial 16S ribosomal RNA". It matches the Rfam family "Bacterial small subunit ribosomal RNA", at positions 28 to 507 of the family's 1533-position model. The record is from RNAcentral.
GAUGAACGCUGGCGGAAUGCUUAACACAUGCAAGUCGAACUGAAUGUGGGUUUUUAACUUGGGUUUUGGUGUCGGGCAGGUGAGUAACGCAUAAAGAACUCGCCUCCCAGCUUUUGGCAACAUUUGAAAACAAAGGCUAAUACCUAAUAUUAUGAUACUUGCUCCUCGUUUAAUGAUGGAAACUUUCGGCGCUGGGGGAUGGAUUCGCGUCUCAUCAGCUUGUUGGUGGGGUAGCGGCUCACCAAGGCGUUGACGGGUAGCCGGCCUGAGAGGGUGACCGGGGACAUUGGGACUGAGAUACGGCCCAGUCUCCUACGGGAGAGAGCGGUGUGGAAUAUUGCGCAAUGGGCGGAGGCCGGAUGCAGCAGCGCUGCGGGGGGGAUGACGGCGUUCUGGUUGAAGACCGCUUUCGUCUGUGACGAAGCGUGAGUGACGGUAAUGAAUAGAAAAGCACCGGCUAACUACGUG